UGCGUAUUUGCUCAGGCGGAGCUCGACCGCCGCUGACCGAUGUCGAUGCCUUCAUCGACGACCACCGUGAUGAGCAUGGGGUCGAGCCGACCUGCACCGUCCUGGCCGAGGCCGGGAUCCAGGUCGCCCCG
This is a regulatory RNA element of Janibacter indicus, 131 nucleotides long. It matches the Rfam family "ALIL pseudoknot". NCBI's taxonomy places the organism in Bacteria, Bacillati, Actinomycetota, Actinomycetes, Micrococcales, Intrasporangiaceae. The record is from Rfam.